Molecule: ribosomal RNA, 198 nt
Filed under: Gambierdiscus australes
Lineage: Eukaryota; Dinophyceae; Gonyaulacales; Pyrocystaceae
Description: partial Bacterial large subunit ribosomal RNA
Rfam family: Bacterial large subunit ribosomal RNA
Source: RNAcentral
UGGUGGAUGCCUUGGCGCCAAGAGGCGAUGAAGGACGUGGUACGCUGCGAUAAGCCGUGGGGAGCUGCGAACAAGCUUUGAUCCGCGGAUUUCCGAAUGGGGAAACCCGGCCCUUUAGGGUCAUCCCUAUCCUUUGGGUAGGGAAGCGAACCCGGCGAACUGAAACAUCUCAGUAGCCGGAGGAAAGGACAUCAACCG